Molecule: ribosomal RNA, 826 nt
Filed under: uncultured bacterium
Lineage: Bacteria
Description: bacterial SSU rRNA
Rfam family: Bacterial small subunit ribosomal RNA
Source: RNAcentral
ACACAUGCAAGUCGAACGAGCGAGAGAGAGCUUGCUUUCUCGAGCGAGUGGCGAACGGGUGAGUAACGCGUGAGGAACCUGCCUCAAAGAGGGGGACAACAGUUGGAAACGACUGCUAAUACCGCAUAAGCCCACGGGUCGGCAUCGACCAGAGGGAAAAGGAGUGAUCCGCUUUGAGAUGGCCUCGCGUCCGAUUAGCUAGUUGGUGAGGUAACGGCCCACCAAGGCGACGAUCGGUAGCCGGACUGAGAGGUUGAACGGCCACAUUGGGACUGAGACACGGCCCAGACUCCUGCGGGAGGCAGCAGUGGGGAAUAUUGCACAAUGGGGGAAACCCUGAUGCAGCGACGCCGCGUGGAGGAAGAAGGUCUUCGGAUUGUAAACUCCUGUUGUUGGGGAAGAUAAUGACGGUACCCAACAAGGAAGUGACGGCUAACUACGUGCCAGCAGCCGCGGUAAAACGUAGGUCACAAGCGUUGUCCGGAAUUACUGGGUGUAAAGGGAGCGCAGGCGGGAAGACAAGUUGGAAGUGAAAUCCAUGGGCUCAACCCAUGAACUGCUUUCAAAACUGUUUUUCUUGAGUAGUGCAGAGGUAGGCGGAAUUCCCGGUGUAGCGGUGGAAUGCGUAGAUAUCGGGAGGAACACCAGUGGCGAAGGCGGCCUACUGGGCACCAACUGACGCUGAGGCUCGAAAGUGUGGGUAGCAAACAGGAUUAGAUACCCUGGUAGUCCACACCGUAAACGAUGAUUACUAGGUGUUGGAGGAUUGACCCCUUCAGUGCCGCAGUUAACACAAUAAGUAAUCCACCUGGGGAGUACGACCGCA